RNAcentral lists this long non-coding RNA (670 nucleotides) under Mytilus galloprovincialis (Mediterranean mussel). The record is from RNAcentral. Lineage: Eukaryota; Metazoa; Mollusca; Bivalvia; Mytilida; Mytilidae.
AUACAUGUAUAGUGUGUGAUAACAUUGUGUGAGGGAAUUCGACGUUUGAUGUACCACUGUUCACUCCAGUGCAAUUUAUGACAAUACCACUGCAUCAAUCAGAAUUAUUUUUUUUGCAGUGUUUUAAGAAAUGAUUUUGCUUUGUUGUCGCGUAUUAUUUGUGAAACAUUCAAUGUUUUAAAAAGGCGAAUUUUCUUUAUAAAGUCAGUGAUUAUGUUGACUUUUGAAGGCCAAACUUUCUACAGCCUUAAAUACGCUAAUGAAAGAUCCAAAAACUAUACCAAUACAUAACGACAUGAUUAUGAAAUUAUAACAAAUCUAUUGGUUAACAAAUUUUUACUCGUUAUUGCAAAAUAAUGAACUUAAUAUAUCUGACAUUUUCUCCCUACCCAGUUUACCCCUAUACAUUUUUAUGAUGUGGACUGGUCAUUGUUAUUGAAUCGUAGGCAAUUUGAUUGGAUUAAGUUGUUAUUAGUUUACCUUCAAACCUGUUUAUGCUUUUCAUACAUGACUAUUGAUUAAUCAGAACGUGCAUGAAUGUGACCGGUAACUGAAAUGACCUUCAAACUGGACACUGGACGAGUCAAUAUUAUGUUUUAUCAAUGAAAGUUAAGGUAUGAAAGGUAAGAAUUGCCACUUAUUCGAUUUUCACAAAAUUUUCGGAAUAUAC